AUGGCUGGCGAGUCCAUCGUCUCCGGCGUCGUGGGGGGCAUGGUCGGCAGGGCGAUGUCCCUCCUCGCCGGGCAGCUCCUGGACCAGCAGCCGGAGCGGAGCGUCGAGGCCAAGCUGCGGCGGCUGAGGCGCCUGCUCGCCAGGGCCGAGAGCGCCGCGGAGGCCGCCGGGGCGAGGCGGAUCACGAGCCGCGCGCUGCUCUCCUGGCUCGCGGAGAUCGUCGACGGGGCGCGCCGGGGGCGCUACCUCCUCGACGCGUUCCCGGUUCCGAGCGGAGCAGGCGAUCAGGACGACGGCCAUGCUGGCAACAAGGUGGUGCCGCUGGCGCGCUCUUUCUCCAUGCCUAGCUCGUUCAACUCCGCUAAGCGCCUGCGCGUCGCGGCCAUGAAGCUGCUGCUCGGCGACGGCGACGGCAGAGCCGACGAGCUGGAUGGUGUCCUCGCGGACCUGGAAAGCGUCGCCAGCGGUCUCACAGAGUUCAUCGUGCUGCUGCAGAUGUGCCCGCCGGCGCUGCACCGGCCGCUUGCCACGAGCAUCUACGCGGACAGCCAGAUGUUUGUCCGGCACGUCGAGAGACGCCGCGUUUUCGAGUUCUUGCUGCAAGAUGACGAGGGCGAGCCGACGCUGGCAGAGCCAGGUGUCCUCCCUAUAAUCGGCUCCGCCGGCCUGGGGAAGACCACGCUCGUGCAGCACGUCUGCGAGGAGCCCGCGGUGCGCCGCCGCUUCUCGCUGGUCAUGCUGCUAGACUUCCAUUGCAUGAGCCUCAUGGCAGCCGGCGAGACGGCGCUCUUCCCACGCUCUCUGUUCACGCCAAACGCCACCAGCCUCUCCGCCGACGGCGAGCAGACGAGGCUCCUAGAGCGGAAGCUGCGCGGCGAGAGGUUUCUGGCCGUCUUCGACAACGUCAACCGGCGCAAAAGGCAGGUGGUCGACGCGAUCAUGCAAACCCUGCGGCGCGCCGGCAGGCGAGGGAGCAAGGUCGUCGUAACCAGCAGCGACGCCGGGCAUGUUGCGGGCCUUGGCACCGCGGAGCCGAUCGUUCUGCGUCCCCUGCCGCCGGAGGAGUACUGGUUCUUCUUCAGGGCGCACGCGUUCGGCGGCGCCGAGGCAGACCCGCGGCUGGCGGCGGCGGGCCAGGCCAUCGCCAAGAGGCUGGACGGCUCCUUCUUCGGCGGGAAGAUAGUGGGCGCGCUCCUGAGGUCCCGUCCGGACGCGCGGCUAUGGCGUAGCGUCCUGAGCAGCAGCUUCAGCAUCGCCGACGUGUGGUGCCUCGGCAGCGAAGGCUGCGUCGCCGCCGCGGCCGGCAGCCUCCUCCCGCGGCAUGUGACCAUGCGCUGCGUCACCGUCUCCGGCUCGCCGAUGAGAGGGCUCGUCGGAAUCCAAGAAACCUCUUUGGCUGUUCCUGCUCCUCCUUGUCCAGACGACGGCGGCAGCCGCAGCCCGGAGUUGCCUGUGCUGCUGUGCAAGUCUGUGUUCCCUGGCUACUGCCUGUACUACACUGCCCAUUGCACGAUCGACAGAGAGAUCAAUCAGUAA
This 1536-nucleotide ribosomal RNA is filed under the name Triticum aestivum (bread wheat). Its description in RNAcentral is "partial small subunit ribosomal RNA". The record is from RNAcentral. Lineage: Eukaryota; Viridiplantae; Streptophyta; Magnoliopsida; Poales; Poaceae.